GACGAACGCUGGCGGCGUGGAUUAGGCAUGCAAGUCGAACGGUAUAAACCUUUCGGGGUUUAGAGAGUGGCGAACGGGUGAGUAACACGUAGGUAAUCUACCCUCAAAACGGGGACAACCCAGGGAAACUUGGGCUAAUACCGGAUGCGUGCAAGCAAUGUUUUGGCUGUUAAUGCUAUUCACGGAAGUGAGUAGUGUUAAUGGUUGAGAGCAUUAUUUGCAUAAAAGGUGGCGUAAGCUGCCGUUUGAGGAUGAGCCUGCGUCCUAUUAGUUAGUUGGUGAGGUAACGGCUCACCUAGGCAAUGAUAGGUAGGCGGCCUUAACGGGGUGGUCGCCCACACUGGGAUUGAGAUACGGCCCAGACCUCCUACGGGGAGGCAGCAGUCGAGAAUAGUCUACAAUGGUCGGAAGACUGAUAGUGCGACGCCGCGUGAACGAUGAAUCCCUUCGGGGUGUAAAGUUCUUUUAUAUGUGAGCAGUGCUUCUAUAUUAACAGUAUGGGGAGAGAGAUAUU
RNAcentral lists this ribosomal RNA (514 nucleotides) under uncultured bacterium. Its description in RNAcentral is "bacterial SSU rRNA". It matches the Rfam family "Bacterial small subunit ribosomal RNA", at positions 28 to 484 of the family's 1533-position model. The record is from RNAcentral.